GAGACACCCUUCUGGGGCAAGACUUGCUUCAGUGGGGCUUUGGUCCUCACUGAGUCUGCCCCCUGAGUGUGUCCCU
Molecule: non-coding RNA, 76 nt
Organism: Myotis lucifugus (little brown bat)
Lineage: Eukaryota; Metazoa; Chordata; Mammalia; Chiroptera; Vespertilionidae
Source: Rfam